This 253-nucleotide ribosomal RNA is filed under the name uncultured bacterium. RNAcentral describes it as "partial 16S ribosomal RNA". It matches the Rfam family "Bacterial small subunit ribosomal RNA", at positions 524 to 776 of the family's 1533-position model. The record is from RNAcentral.
UACGGAGGAUGCAAGCGUUAUCCGGAAUGAUUGGGCGUAAAGCGUCCGCAGGUGGCACAUCAAGUCUGCUGUCAAAGCGCGUGGCUCAACCACGUAAAGGCAGUGGAAACUGGUGAGCUAGAGUGUGGUAGGGGUAGAGGGAAUUCCCAGUGUAGCGGUGAAAUGCGUAGAGAUUGGGAAGAACACCGGUGGCGAAAGCGCUCUGCUGGACCACAACUGACACUCAUGGACGAAAGCUAGGGGAGCGAAUGGG